UUUAUACUCCCUCCCUCCAGAAAUACUUGUCAGAGAAAUGGAUGUAUCUAGACAUAUUUUAAUUCUAGAUACAUCUAGUUUUAUCCAUUUCCAUGACAAGUAAUUCCGGAUGGAGGGAGUAUUUU
This is a non-coding RNA of Triticum aestivum (bread wheat), 125 nucleotides long. Lineage: Eukaryota; Viridiplantae; Streptophyta; Magnoliopsida; Poales; Poaceae. The record is from Rfam.